AUAUUCCUACUGUGUACGGGGAACGAGUUAAUGUUGGCUGAACAUUUCAUAAAAGGGAAUCCCACUCUUUUUGUGGAAUGAAACUCAAUUUAUUUUGAGCACAAGAAGCAAAAAGGAGAUGCCCACCUGUUAAGAGCGGGUUCAAUAUAACUUAUUCUGCGGCAUGGUGGGGUUUUA
Molecule: non-coding RNA, 177 nt
Organism: Clostridium kluyveri DSM 555
Lineage: Bacteria; Bacillati; Bacillota; Clostridia; Eubacteriales; Clostridiaceae
Rfam family: 6S / SsrS RNA
About the family: E. coli 6S RNA was the first non coding RNA to be sequenced, but its function was unknown until recently.
Source: Rfam